This 435-nucleotide ribosomal RNA is filed under the name uncultured bacterium. RNAcentral's name for it is "partial 16S ribosomal RNA". It matches the Rfam family "Bacterial small subunit ribosomal RNA", at positions 29 to 507 of the family's 1533-position model. The record is from RNAcentral.
AGCGAACGCUGGCGGCAGGCUUAACACAUGCAAGUCGAGCGGGCACUUUCGGGUGUCAGCGGCGGACGGGUGAGUAACGCGUGGGAACGUGCCCUCUGGUUCGGAAUAACUCAGGGAAACUUGAGCUAAUACCGGAUACGCCCUUUUGGGGAAAGGCUUGCUGCCGGAGGAUCGGCCCGCGUCUGAUUAGCUAGUUGGUGAGGUAACGGCUCACCAAGGCGACGAUCAGUAGCUGGUCUGAGAGGAUGAUCAGCCACACUGGGACUGAGACACGGCCCAGACUCCGACGGGAGGCAGCAGUGGGGAAUAUUGGACAAGGGGCGCAAGCCUGAUCCAGCCAGGCCGCGUGAGUGAUGAAGGCCUUAGGGUUGUAAAGCUCUUUUAUCCGGGACGAUAAUGACGGUACCGGAGGAAUAAGCCCCGGCUAACUUCGUG